RNAcentral lists this ribosomal RNA (701 nucleotides) under Segatella bryantii. RNAcentral's name for it is "partial 23S ribosomal RNA". It matches the Rfam family "Bacterial large subunit ribosomal RNA", at positions 1216 to 1917 of the family's 2925-position model. Lineage: Bacteria; Pseudomonadati; Bacteroidota; Bacteroidia; Bacteroidales; Prevotellaceae. The record is from RNAcentral.
AUAAAAGUAUCGGUAGGGGAGCAUUCCAUCGGCGCAGAAUGCAAAGGAUGACCUUUGCUGGAGCUUAUGGAAAAGCAAAUGUAGGUAUAAGUAACGAUAAAAGGGGUUAGAUUCCCCUUCGCCGCAAGACCAAGGUUUCCCGGGCAAUGCCAAUCAGCCCGGGGUUAGUCAGGUCCUAAGUCUCAGCCGAACGGCGAUGGCGAUGGCAGAAACGGUUAAUAUUCCGUUACUGCCGCAUGGAGUGAUGUGGAGACGGAGCAGUGACACUACCGCGGAGAUACGGAAUUCUCCGUUGAAGGGUGUAGGCGCAGAUUGAGGCAGGCAAAUCCACCUUGAGAGCCGAACCUGAUAGUAUGGAGUCUUCUUCGGAAGAGUCCAAUAGUGUAGGUAAUCAUACUUCCUAGAAAAUCCGCUAAACUUAAUCCAUGCGGCACCUGUACCGCAAACGGACACACGUGGUCGGGUAGAACAUACUAAGGCGUUGAGAGAUUCUUGGUUAAGGAACUAGGCAAAUUGACCCUGUAACUUCGGGAUAAAGGGUCCUCACAGCAAUGUGAGGCGCAGAGAAUAGGUCCAGGCAACUGUUUAACAAAAACACAGGGCUGUGCAAACUCGAAAGAUGACGUAUACAGCCUGACACCUGCCCGGUGCCGGAAGGUUAAGAGGAGAAGUCAGUAGCAAUAUGAAGCUUUGAAUUGAAG